CGGCGGACGGGUGAGUAACGCGUGGGUAGCCUACCCUGUACACACGGAUAACAUACCGAAAGGUAUGCUAAUACGGGAUAAUAUAUUUGAGAGGCAUCUCUUAAAUAUCAAAGGUGAGCCAGUACAGGAUGGACCCGCGUCUGAUUAGCUAGUUGGUAAGGUAACGGCUUACCAAGGCGACGAUCAGUAGCCGACCUGAGAGGGUGAUCGGCCACAUUGGAACUGAGACACGGUCCAA
This 238-nucleotide ribosomal RNA is filed under the name uncultured bacterium. RNAcentral describes it as "partial 16S ribosomal RNA". It matches the Rfam family "Bacterial small subunit ribosomal RNA", at positions 96 to 334 of the family's 1533-position model. The record is from RNAcentral.